RNAcentral lists this ribosomal RNA (465 nucleotides) under uncultured bacterium. RNAcentral describes it as "partial 16S ribosomal RNA". It matches the Rfam family "Bacterial small subunit ribosomal RNA", at positions 338 to 795 of the family's 1533-position model. The record is from RNAcentral.
CCUACGGGGGGCAGCAGUGGGGAAUAUUGCGCAAUGGGCGAAAGCCUGACGCAGCGACGCCGCGUGAGGGAUGAAGGUCUUCGGAUCGUAAACCUCUGUCAGCAGGGAAGAACGGUCACUGUGCUAAUCAGCAGUGAAUUGACGGUACCUGCAAAGGAAGCACCGGCUAACUCCGUGCCAGCAGCCGCGGUAAUACGGAGGGUGUGAGCGUUAAUCGGAAUUACUGGGCGUAAAGCGCUCGUAGGCGGUAUGUCAAGUCAAGGGUGAAAUCCCCGCGCUAAACGUGGGAACUGCCUUUGAAACUGGCAAACUGGAGUGUGUGAGAGGAUAGUGGAAUUCCAGGUGUAGGAGUGAAAGCCGUAGAUAUCUGGAGGAACAUCAGUGGCGAAGGCGACUAUCUGGCACAUAACUGACGCUGAGGAGCGAAAGCGUGGGUAGCAAACAGGAUUAGAUACCCUAGUAGUC